This 253-nucleotide ribosomal RNA is filed under the name uncultured bacterium. RNAcentral describes it as "partial 16S ribosomal RNA". It matches the Rfam family "Bacterial small subunit ribosomal RNA", at positions 524 to 776 of the family's 1533-position model. The record is from RNAcentral.
UACGGAGGAUCCAAGCGUUAUCCGGAAUCAUUGGGUUUAAAGGGUGCGUAGGCGGUUUGGUAAGUCAGUGGUGAAAGCCCAUCGCUCAACGGUGGAACGGCCAUUGAUACUGCAAGACUUGAAUUACUAGGAAGUAACUAGAAUAUGUAGUGUAGCGGUGAAAUGCUUAGAUAUUACAUGGAAUACCAAUUGCGAAGGCAGGUUACUACUAGUGGAUUGACGCUGAUGGACGAAAGCGUGGGGAGCGAACAGG